This 217-nucleotide long non-coding RNA is filed under the name Citrus x clementina. RNAcentral describes it as "Citrus clementina (C. clementina) long non-coding RNA (CCLE_LNC005755)". Lineage: Eukaryota; Viridiplantae; Streptophyta; Magnoliopsida; Sapindales; Rutaceae. The record is from RNAcentral.
AUAUAUAUAUAUAUCUGAAAAAGAAAGAAGAACAUAUUGGAAGCGAAGCAACGUGGCAAAGCCAUGGCUUUGUAAAAUUUAGGGGAAGCCAAAUCCCGAAAACUAAACAGACAAAUCGUGUGAGUAGUCUAUGGCCACUCCUCUGAUUCUGAGAAAUUGUCCCACUCUCUGCACUCUCAACUCUAACCAACCCCCUCUCCGCACUCUCACAUUAACU